AUCCACCCCCCCUUCCCAGACCUCAUUUAAGGGUUGGUAGUAGUGGUGAGGAUCUCUUGGUGGGGAUUCUUGUCUGCUGGAGGCAUUGUGGAGGGAAGAAUCAGUGUAAGGAGGAGCGAGAUCCAGUAUUAUAAACUUGCUGAGAAAAUUGAAGCUGUGAGUUUCAAGCUUUAUCUAUUCCUGGAGUGACAGGGGACUCAGUGCAUCUGUAUAGUAGGAGAUUAGUGACAGCACUGUCAUCUGAUUAACUGAUUUAAAGGAGCAUUGGUUUGAUGUUGCAGUUGAGGUAUUUGGUACGAGUCUUCAGCAGUUACUUCUGAUGCCCCUGAUCGAAAGAGUACAGAACCCAUCUUUGUGGAAAGUCUACCAAAUAAAGUGUCAAAUGGAUGCCAAACCCAGCACUUUGCUGUUAAUGCCAGCUAUCCUGCUAAUGACACCUACUCAAAACCAGAUGCCAAUGGGAAGAAGCACAUGUACCUGGCUCGAGUCCUUGUUGGACAGUAUUCCCAGGGGACACAAGGAGCAAUUACUCCAGCAGUAAAGAGUGUUGGCAACAGUGUGGAUCUGUUUGACAGUUCAACUGAUAAUGUGAACAAUCCAUCCAUGUUUAUUGUUUUUAAUGAUAUUCAAGCUUACCCGGAGUACCUCAUCACUUUCACUAGAUGAGCAUUUUGAUUGCAGCCAUGAUUGCAUGUCUCUUAGCUUUUAUGUUAUAAAUCAGUCCUACAGAUCAACCAAAUAUGCAGUGAGAACUAUUUAUAGUUUUAUCAAAUUAAUUUCUAAAGGCCUGUUUAUGUUCAAGCAGCCUCUGGUUCUUUUUGAUGUCCUGAGCAUAGGCUAAUGUUUUUCCUCUCAGAGUAAUAGCUGAAUGCAUUUAAGACAAGUUUAAUCUGGCAUGUAGUCUAACAGCAGUUUCCAGUAGACAUCCCACGCCUCCCCAUCGUGAUCCUCCAUGCUGUGUUCUGGCCAUCCUAGCUGCAGCAGUGCUGGUGGGGGAGAGUGAGAGACUGAGUGCUUGGUCUCACAUUUCUGAAAGUGAGGAGCUGUCAUCAAUUAUGAUGCAGACUGUCAUUCACAGUUCUCAAUAAAUGAACUAUCUGUACUUAA
This is a long non-coding RNA of Lagopus muta (rock ptarmigan), 1107 nucleotides long. RefSeq lists it as uncharacterized. Lineage: Eukaryota; Metazoa; Chordata; Aves; Galliformes; Phasianidae. The record is from RefSeq and is a predicted model, not a curated record. The transcript is spliced from 4 exons.